This 500-nucleotide ribosomal RNA is filed under the name uncultured bacterium. RNAcentral's name for it is "bacterial SSU rRNA". It matches the Rfam family "Bacterial small subunit ribosomal RNA", at positions 29 to 524 of the family's 1533-position model. The record is from RNAcentral.
AAUGAACGCUGGCGGCGUGCUUAACACAUGCAAGUCGAUCGGUAACAGGUGUAGCAAUACAUGCUGACGAGAGGCGGACGGGUGAGUAAUGCUUGGGAAUCUGCCUAUUAGUGGGGGACAACCCGGGGAAACUCGGGCUAAUACCGCAUACGCUCUACGGAGGAAAGCCGGGGACCGCAAGGCCUGGCGCUAAUAGAUGAGCCCAAGUCGGAUUAGCUAGUUGGUAGGGAACGGCCUACCAAGGCGACAAUCCGUAGCUGGUCUGAGAGGACGACCAGCCACACCGGAACUGAGACACGGUCCGGACUCCUACGGGAGGCAGCAGUGAGGAAUAUUGGACAAUGGGGCGAACCCUGAUCCAGCGACGCCGCGUGGGUGAAGAAGGCCUGCGGGUUGUAAAGCCCUUUCGGUGGGGAAGAAAAGUCUCGACCUAAUACGUCGGGACCUUGACGUAACCCACUAAGAAGCACGGCUAACUCUGUGCCAGCCGCCGCAGUAAC